RNAcentral lists this unclassified non-coding RNA (3672 nucleotides) under Dufourea novaeangliae. RNAcentral describes it as "uncharacterized transmembrane protein DDB_G0289901- like, transcript variant X3". Lineage: Eukaryota; Metazoa; Arthropoda; Insecta; Hymenoptera; Halictidae. The record is from RNAcentral.
AUGGUAUUUUGGUCUGCGCUAGCGCAGAAUGCGGUAGUCGCGGAAGCGAUGACUGUCAACGCGGAAAUCGGCAACCUUAUAUUCGCCAUAUUGUUUGCACGCACGUUGCGCUAGCGAAAUCCGGUCGGAGUGGUGUUUCGCAAGUGUGAUACGCGCGCGUGGUGGUGAACCACACGGAACGAAAGAGAGAACGAAACGAAGUGUCGAAAGCAAGGAAAAGUCUCUCUCUCUCUGUAGGGAAGACAGAGAAAGUGGGAGAGAGAAAAAUAGAGAGAGAUAUUGAGGGACUGGUGGUGGCCCAGGUGCAAUGUCAUAUCACCGUGGGGGCCAGGCGGGCGCCGUAGCAGUCUCGUACAGCACCAGCCCAAUGACACCGCAUUCUCCUAGCAGGCGAUGUUCCAGCGGUAGCAGUGGCACCAGCAGCACCGCGAUCGGCGGCACCUCCACGUCCAAAUUGAACAGCUACCGACCAACCGGUUCAUUCUACACCACGUCGACCAGUUCAGGAUAUCGUUCGAGCUGCACGCCCGAGUACAGACGAUCUUACUGUCCGUCAAGCAGUUACUACUCGUUAACAUCAACCAGUUCGAGCCUCCGCAGGAACUACGUGUCGGACUAUGGACGGUCUCGCUGCUCACCCGCAAGGUCAGUUUCAUCGUCAUCGUACGGGAAUACGGGCACAAGCGGCGGCGGCGGUGGCGGCGGUGGUUCGAAUGUGACGACCAACGGAACAAGCAGCAGUAGAUACGGUGGACUGUCGACGUCGUCGUCGUCGUCGAGCAUCUCCAUCACCGGUUCGUCGAGGGACAGGGGCCAGGACACGUCUUCCAGAAACAACGAAUCGUCGCCCACGACAGCGGAGCUGAUCAGCAGGUACUCGCCGUCCGGCUACGUGCCCAACAUCCGGCAGACAAGCGGCACCAGCAACACGACAACAACAACAGCAGGAUCCCAUCAUCAUCAUUGGAAACAUCAUUCGAUCGGUUCGUCGUUGACCGAGCUGUACGGCGGUGACGAGCGCGAGGUAGCCGGGACCAGAGAUCGUCCCGAGUCUUCUCUCUCCUCGUCCUCAUCAUCGUCGUCCGCCACCGCUGUUGGCGGUGCACUCUGGUCCAGAUCAAAGAGGGGACCAUUGUCCAGCAGCACGGUGCUCACCAGCGGGCAUGCUCGCGCGGAUACCGCCGCGGCGUCGCCUGGCGAGGUAACGAUCGACGAUCGCGGCACCGUCCGCGACCCAGACGAGAACGACGACGACGACGACGACGACGAGGACGAUGACGAUGACGGGAACGACGACGAUAACAACACCGACGACGAUCAGCAGAAUAACAACAUCGGAAACAACGAGGAUGCCUGCGGAUACGCCGUGAACAACAACGACGACGUGCACGACGAUGACGACGAUGACGACGAUAGCAACAACCUGAACAACCGCCAUCACCACCAACAACGUGGCGGUGCUCAUCGUACCGACGAGGUCGUCGUCUCACCGAAGCGUAGUAGUAGUAGUAACCUCCUCACGCCCACUGUACCUGGUAAUGCGUGUAACGCUGAACCGCUGAUGAUCAAUAACAACGGUCAGGAGACGAGCCCAGGCCAGCUGGACGAGGACGUCGAGGUGAACAACGAGGUAAUGCCCGGAUUCGACGACACGAUCGUGUUCCUUCAAGGUGGCCGUACCAGGGACGACCGUUCGGAGAUUCUGGAGAACGGUGACGAUCGGGAACGGAGCAACGCGUCGACCUCGUACGAUAAUAUCGAUCAUACGAGAUUCGGGGGCGGUGCCACGCCGCCUGUACUACAGAACGGCGUGGCUGGACGACCAUCCGGUGGCGGUACAUACGGGGACGACACACCGUCCGUACCGUCCACCUCGAGACGACCGGACGGCGGUCAUUUCUCUGGGAGCAACGCGAGUGCCGCCAGUAAUUUGAACUCGUCGACUGCUGCGCCGUCCGCCACAGCACACCAGAGUCUCUACCGCGGGGUAACCGAUCAGUUUGACGGAAGCCCUACGAACAAAGCGACACGUAGCCGGCUGCAGACGCAUCGCGGCGAACGAUGCGGACUAAACGGGUUGCGGAAUAUUGGAAACACAUGUUUCAUGAACAGUGUGAUUCAAUGCCUGAGCAACACGAGACCGUUACUCGAGUAUCUGCUAAACGAGCAGUACCUGGCGGACAUCAACGUCUCCACGUCCAGUAUGAAGGGCGCACUGAUCAAGGCGUUCAGCCAGGUGAUACACGAAUUGUGGGAGGCGGGCGGUGAUCACGUGGUGAACACCACCGCUUUAAAGUCUCAGAUACAAAGAUUCGCGCCGCGAUUCAUGGGCUACAGUCAACAGGACGCGCAAGAGUUUCUCCGAUACUUGCUCGAGGGACUGCACGAGGAUGUGAACAGGGUGACGGUGAAGCCACAGCCGAUACACACCGAUAUCCCUGAUGUGUAUACAGACAGCCAGAAAGCUGUGGAGAGUUGGAAACGUUACCUCCGCAGCGAGGACAGUAUGGUGGUGGAUGUGUUCGUUGGUCAAUUACGCUCGUCGUUGCACUGCACUGACUGCGACCAUGUCUCGGUAACUCUGGACCCUUUCUGGGACUUGAGUCUGCCGAUACCGGCCAGAAGCGGCACGGUCAAGCUCAGCCAAUGCUUGGAACAUUUCACCCGCGAAGAGGUUCUCGACGGUGACGAGAAACCGACCUGCUCCAAGUGUCAGAUGAGGCGAAAGUGUACCAAAAGCUUCAGCAUACAGAAGUUUCCGAAGAUCCUAGUUAUUCACUUAAAACGUUUCUCACCCAUGGAACGAUUCCGCGGCAAGCUAAACGUCACGGUGGACUUUCCAUUGACAGGAUUAGAUCUCAGUGCCUUUGCCGCCCCAAGAGUUCCGGGCUGUACAUACAAUUUGUACGGUGUCGCCAACCAUUCUGGCACCACGUACUCCGGUCAUUAUACCGCGUACUGCAAGCAUCCGUACUCGGGCGAAUGGCACGAGUACAACGACAGUCGAGUGUCCGUGGUCCCGGCGCGAUCGGUGGUCACCAGCGAAGCCUACGUACUGUUUUACGAACAGCAGCCUCAUAGCUCUCACUUGUAACCUCACGCCAUGCCUAGAAUUUAAAACGACCAUCUUGCCUCUCGAUACCUCAGUCCAGCAUAGUGUAAUAAUGAAAAUUAUACUACUUUAUCGUGUGGUAUUGAAAAGCGACUAAACACUGAACGACGAACAGCCCCGGGGUUGUCGUCUUCAAGUCGAACAACACGGGGUAGAGUGUGUGUGUGUGUGUGUGUGUUUUGUGGUGUGUAUGGUGAGACAUUUGGCGAUAAUCAUGUAAUCAUCCUCGAGCUGUUCCUUUGUUUUUCUUCGGAUCUACACUCCCAUGGUCGUACUUCUCGCUUUCUCUCUCUUCCUUCCUCUCUUCUCUCCUUUUUGGCUUUCGUUUAGAGACACACAACAGACGCUUUCGGGUACGUUCAGGAGAGAUAUAUAGGGACGAUACAGAUAGACCUUCGAUGGAUAGAACGCAUCGCAUUCAACGAAAUUGCUGUGUCACGUGUCUCUUCUUUCCCCGAAUAGAACAUAGUAUCGCUGAUAUUAAUGGAGAUUGCGUUGGAAACUCGCUGAGAGGACAUUGCUCGCGAAAAAUUGAUUUCAAUAAUUCAAUGAAAAUCUCC